RNAcentral lists this transfer RNA (64 nucleotides) under Scolytinae sp. BMNH 1043031. RNAcentral's name for it is "tRNA-Ala". The record is from RNAcentral. Lineage: Eukaryota; Metazoa; Arthropoda; Insecta; Coleoptera; Curculionidae.
AGGAUUUUAGUUUAAUCUUCAAAACAUUUAAGUUGCAUUUAAAAAAUAUUUUUAAUAAAUCUUA